This 570-nucleotide ribosomal RNA is filed under the name Scheffersomyces ergatensis. RNAcentral describes it as "eukaryotic LSU rRNA". It matches the Rfam family "Eukaryotic large subunit ribosomal RNA", at positions 23 to 600 of the family's 3401-position model. Lineage: Eukaryota; Fungi; Ascomycota; Pichiomycetes; Serinales; Debaryomycetaceae. The record is from RNAcentral.
ACCCGCUGAACUUAAGCAUAUCAAUAAGCGGAGGAAAAGAAACCAACAGGGAUUGUCUCAGUAACGGCGAGUGAAGCGACAAAAGCUCAAAUUUGAAAUCUGGCGCCUUCGGUGUCCGAGUUGUAAUUUGAAGAAGGUAACUUUGGUUUUGGCUCUUGUCUAUGUUCCUUGGAACAGGACGUCACAGAGGGUGAGAAUCCCGUGCGAUGAGAUGCCCAAUUCCAUGUAAAGUGCUUUCGAAGAGUCGAGUUGUUUGGGAAUGCAGCUCUAAGUGGGUGGUAAAUUCCAUCUAAAGCUAAAUAUUGGCGAGAGACCGAUAGCGAACAAGUACAGUGAUGGAAAGAUGAAAAGAACUUUGAAAAGAGAGUGAAAAAGUACGUGAAAUUGUUGAAAGGGAAGGGCUUGAGAUCAGACUUGGUAUUUUGUAUGUCUUGCUUUCGGGUAGGGCCUCUGCAGUUUAUCGGGCCAGCAUCAGUUUGGAUGGUAGGAUAAUGACAUUGGAACGUAGCACUGCUUCGGUGGUGUGUUAUAGACUUUGUUGAUACUGCCUGUCUAGACUGAGGACUGCGU